Molecule: long non-coding RNA, 709 nt
Organism: Entelurus aequoreus (snake pipefish)
Lineage: Eukaryota; Metazoa; Chordata; Actinopteri; Syngnathiformes; Syngnathidae
Exons: 3
Source: RefSeq, a predicted model, not a curated record
CUUCUUCCCCCAUCGGUCGCUGAGGGAGAAUGAAUGUUCAUUAAGACACCUGCUGAAUGAAGGAAACAUUCUGAAGGCGAAAAUGUGAUGAAAAGUUGACACUCGCCAGUCGUCAUCUUGACAAAUGUACACACUGCCAGCGGCCAGGAAGCAGGAACAUCCACUUUUAGAGAGAGGAGAGGGUACAUUUAGGGCCCGAAUGAAGAAUGACCCCAGAAGAUGAGCUACACAAAUGGCUGAAAGACUUUGAAACAUCCUCCCAGCUAACUUGGAGGAAGUUAUACGUGAUCCAAACACUGGAUGUCCGGACGCCUUCAGGGGUGGAUGCUGGAAGGUGUCGUGCAUUAAUGGGGAAACCUUCAACGCUCCUUGUGAAGGAACAGGAACCCAAUUAACCGCAGGUGUGAUUAGAGUGCCCCUCACUCAUGACCUUUGACCUCAGCACGAUGAGCUGUGAACCACUCUGAAGAUAAUGAGUUUCUUUUCAUUACAAACAUAUGACUAACCCUCAAUUUUCUACACCCCUUGUGCUCAAAAUUGAAGUUGAAAAACAGAAUCAUCUAUGGUUAUCAUCACACCUGUCCUCUCUUUCUGUGGAGUGUCACGCGGGGACCCUUGAAAAGAUCUGUUUGGGAAGGCGUGCCUUUAAAAGUCUCACAAUGCUUUAGUGGUCAUGUGACCAGGAUGAAGUAUGUUUGUGUGAUGAUAA